UGAGCCCGCGGCCUAUCAGCUUGUUGGUGGGGUAAUGGCCUACCAAGGCGACGACGGGUAGCCGGCCUGAGAGGGCGACCGGCCACACUGGGACUGAGACACGGCCCAGACUCCUACGGGAGGCAGCAGUGGGGAAUAUUGCACAAUGGGCGAAAGCCUGAUGCAGCGACGCCGCGUGAGGGAUGACGGCCUUCGGGUUGUAAACCUCUUUCAGCAGGGAAGAAGCGAAAGUGACGGUACCUGCAGAAGAAGCGCCGGCUAACUACGUGCCAGCAGCCGCGGCCGA
This 286-nucleotide ribosomal RNA is filed under the name Streptomyces sp. Its description in RNAcentral is "partial 16S ribosomal RNA". It matches the Rfam family "Bacterial small subunit ribosomal RNA", at positions 226 to 524 of the family's 1533-position model. The record is from RNAcentral. Lineage: Bacteria; Bacillati; Actinomycetota; Actinomycetes; Kitasatosporales; Streptomycetaceae.